UACGUAGGGUGCAAGCGUUGUCCGGAAUUAUUGGGCGUAAAGAGCUCGUAGGCGGUUUGUCGCGUCUGCUGUGAAAACCCGAGGCUCAACCUUGGGCUUGCAGUGGGUACGGGCAGACUAGAGUGCGGUAGGGGUGACUGGAAUUCCUGGUGUAGCGGUGGAAUGCGCAGAUAUCAGGAGGAACACCGAUGGCGAAGGCAGGUCACUGGGCCGCAACUGACGCU
RNAcentral lists this ribosomal RNA (224 nucleotides) under uncultured bacterium. RNAcentral describes it as "partial 16S ribosomal RNA". It matches the Rfam family "Bacterial small subunit ribosomal RNA", at positions 524 to 747 of the family's 1533-position model. The record is from RNAcentral.